This 429-nucleotide ribosomal RNA is filed under the name Triticum aestivum (bread wheat). RNAcentral describes it as "partial small subunit ribosomal RNA". Lineage: Eukaryota; Viridiplantae; Streptophyta; Magnoliopsida; Poales; Poaceae. The record is from RNAcentral.
AUGGUAGAUGCAAAGAGGAGAAAUCAACUAGAUGUGGCCCGUAGGGACAAUCUAGUUUAUAUCCAAUUCAAUGGAAGGAUGAUUGAUAAAAGAAAGAAGUUAUCCUCUUCUAGUGAUGUUCUUCUUGGUGAAGAUGCUUCACGAGCUCAAGAUUGGAUAUGUGAAGAUGCAUAUAUCGAUGAGGAGAUUGAUCCCACUACAGGCAUGCCAUACAACAUCAUUGAUGAAGCAAUGGGGGCAAGCGAUCCUGUGGAGCUCCGUAGAAGUGCAAGAGUUAGAGAACUCCAUGAAGUUGAAGAAUUCGUUGAGGAUGAUGAUAAUGAAUCAGAUCAUGAGAUAGAGGAUGAUGGGAUUGAUUAUGAGUCCGAUGAUGAUGGAGUGAUGGCAACCAAAGACGAUGAUGAUGAGGAGGAACCCCCGCAGCCUUGA